This 381-nucleotide ribosomal RNA is filed under the name uncultured archaeon. RNAcentral's name for it is "bacterial SSU rRNA". It matches the Rfam family "Archaeal small subunit ribosomal RNA", at positions 345 to 727 of the family's 1478-position model. The record is from RNAcentral.
AACCUUUACAAUGCACGAAAGUGUGAUAAGGGAAUCCCAAGUGCUUUGCUUUUAGCAAGGCUUUUGCCAACUGUAAAUAGGUUGGCGAAUAAGUGGUGGGCAAGACUUGUGCCAGCCGCCGCGGUAACACCAGCGCCACGAGUGGCAACCGUUUUUAUUGGGCCUAAAGCGUCCGUAGCCUGUUCAGUAAAUUUUCUGUGAAAUCGUUGGGCUCAACUCAACGGCAUGCAGAAAACACUUCUGGACUAGGGACCGGGAGGCGUCAGAGGAAUUCCUGAGGGAGCGGUAAAAUGCAAUAAUCUCAGGAGGACCUCCUGUGGCGAAGGCGUUUGACGAGAACGGAUCCGACGGUGAGGGACGAAAGCCAGGGGAGCGAACCGG